AUUGAACGCUGGCGGCAGGCUUAACACAUGCAAGUCGAGCGGGGUGAUGGUGCUUGCACUAUCACUUAGCGGCGGACGGGUGAGUAAUGCUUAGGAAUCUGCCUAUUAGUGGGGGACAACAUCUCGAAAGGGAUGCUAAUACCGCAUACGUCCUACGGGAGAAAGCAGGGGAUCACUUGUGACCUUGCGCUAAUAGAUGAGCCUAAGUCGGAUUAGCUAGUUGGUGGGGUAAAGGCCUACCAAGGCGGCGAUCUGUAGCGGGUCUGAGAGGAUGAUCCGCCACACUGGGACUGAGACACGGCCCAGAGUCCUACGGGAGGCAGCAGUGGGGAAUAUUGGACAAUGGGGGGAACCCUGAUCCAGCCAUGCCGCGUGUGUGAAGAAGGCCUUAUGGUUGUAAAGCACUUUAAGCGAGGAGGAGGCUCUUUUGGUUAAUACCCAAGAUGAGUGGACGUUACUCGCAGAAUAAGCACCGGCUAACUCUGUGCCAGCAGCCGCAGUAA
This 503-nucleotide ribosomal RNA is filed under the name uncultured bacterium. Its description in RNAcentral is "partial 16S ribosomal RNA". It matches the Rfam family "Bacterial small subunit ribosomal RNA", at positions 30 to 523 of the family's 1533-position model. The record is from RNAcentral.